AAAGACCUAAAUGCCUCCAAAUCAGUUGUACCUUCAUAAGCUCGAAUACGAGCUUAACCAAACAGACUUUCAUGUAAAACAAAAUUCUACUAGCAAGAACUAAAUCAAAUCUGAUGAUGAGCAGACAGUAGAAACUUAUUAUUGAUCAACAAUCAUCAUCUUGGGCUACAGGAGCUCACAUUUACACUUCACAUACAAUAGAUCCAAAGCAUACCUGGAUUACAAAAACAAAAGCAGAGGUGGAUAGUUUAGCAGCAGGAUUAGCCACAACAACAAAAUCAAACCAGAGAUAACCACAAACAACCAACUUUGAACCAAAUUCAGGCCAACAGAGGGAUCAAGGAUACCCAAUAAUCAAAAUGCAGCCAAA
This 370-nucleotide long non-coding RNA is filed under the name Nicotiana tabacum (common tobacco). RNAcentral's name for it is "long non-coding RNA (NTAB_LNC018438)". The record is from RNAcentral. Lineage: Eukaryota; Viridiplantae; Streptophyta; Magnoliopsida; Solanales; Solanaceae.